UACGUAGGGCGCAAGCGUUGUCCGGAAUUAUUGGGCGUAAAGAGCUCGUAGGUGGCGUGUCGCGUCUGCCGUGAAAGCCCAUGGCUUAACUCCGGGUCUGCAUUCGAUACGGGCAGGCUAGAGUUCGGUAGGGGAGAUCGGAAUUCCUGGUGUAGCGGUGAAAUGCGCAGAUAUCAGGAGGAACACCGGUGGCGAAGGCGGAUCUCUGGGCCGAUACUGACGCUGAGGAGCGAAAGCGUGGGGAGCGAACAGG
Molecule: ribosomal RNA, 253 nt
Filed under: uncultured bacterium
Lineage: Bacteria
Description: partial 16S ribosomal RNA
Rfam family: Bacterial small subunit ribosomal RNA
Source: RNAcentral